UACGAGGGGGGCUAGCGUUGUUCGGAUUUACUGGGCGUAAAGCGCACGUAGGCGGAUCGAUCAGUCAGGGGUGAAAUCCCAGAGCUCAACUCUGGAACUGCCUUUGAUACUGUCGAUCUGGAGUAUGGAAGAGGUAAGUGGAAUUCCGAGUGUAGAGGUGAAAUUCGUAGAUAUUCGGAGGAACACCAGUGGCGAAGGCGGCUUACUGGUCCAUUACUGACGCUGAGGUGCGAAAGCGUGGGGAGCAAACAGG
Molecule: ribosomal RNA, 253 nt
Filed under: uncultured bacterium
Lineage: Bacteria
Description: partial 16S ribosomal RNA
Rfam family: Bacterial small subunit ribosomal RNA
Source: RNAcentral